Camelus dromedarius (Arabian camel) is the source of this 457-nucleotide long non-coding RNA. RefSeq lists it as uncharacterized. The record is from RefSeq and is a predicted model, not a curated record. Lineage: Eukaryota; Metazoa; Chordata; Mammalia; Artiodactyla; Camelidae. The transcript has 4 exons.
UGGGUCACAGAUUGCUGGCACACUCAUCCCUGUUCUAAAAUAUCUUUUAAACUUGGGUGAAGUGAUAAGUAGGGGAAGAUGAUUUACUGAAAGGAUGUCCCCUUUCACAAAAUUGUAUGUGUUUGUGUCUGAGAGAGAGAAAUGGAGACAGACAGAAAGACGAAGAAGCAGAAGAGAGCCCCCUCAGAAGAGAGCUAGUUAAGCAUCCCAGACUGACUAAGACAGUGGAGAAUGCCUCUGAGUUUGGCACUGAUUGCCUGGAGAAUGCUGAAACCCAGGGAAGUGGGCAGCACAGACGUUUACUCAUUUAAUCCUGCCAACACAGUAGGAGAUAGAGUCUACAUAUUCCUCGCUACUUAAAAGAUCCCUGCCUUCUCUCUGCUCCUCCUGUCCAUCUCUCUCCCUCCACUUUUCCCCUCCUCCCCUCCUUCUCCCAUCUCCCUCCCUCGCUUCCCCA